Non-coding RNA from Ictidomys tridecemlineatus (thirteen-lined ground squirrel), 1731 nucleotides. The record is from RefSeq and is a predicted model, not a curated record. Lineage: Eukaryota; Metazoa; Chordata; Mammalia; Rodentia; Sciuridae.
GAAUGCUUGGCCAUGUCUGGGAUGGAACUCUUAAUAAAGAGAAGCCCUCGGUACCCCUGGCUGUUGUCCCCGGCUCCGGUGGCACUAGAGGAGGAACAGAGUUUGUGGAUCGACCACGUGAGAGGCAGACUCUUGAGGUCCCCUCUCUCCUCUGGGACCACAGGGGCCUGUUCCUGGGAGCUCAGGCAGGUGGUGGCUCCAGCUGCAAGCAGCCAGGCCCCUUGGCCCUCCAGCCCUCCUGUCGGGCCCAGGCCUCUGCAGACUCGGCAGGCGCGGCCUGGGUGCACACCCGCGUGCCUGGGCCUGGCUCUCUGCACGCACAUAUAUAUUUUAGAAAUGUUUCUCUUAAUCAUAUCUUGAAUUAAUGCAGGCCUCGUUCAUCCCCAGUUCUCAUUACCCUCUUAAUUAACUCGGCACAGAUGGAAAAAGUCGGAAUUGCUCUAGCCGAGUUGUUCUGCUAGUUUUAAAAUGAGAUGGCAGAUGGGAGGACGAGGUGGAACGGGCCGGCGCCGAGGGAGGAGAUGAGUUUUCAAGCUGUCACCGGAGCGUCAACAAACGCUCCAUCUGUCGGUGAGGCCGGCCGGGGACUGAGCAAGGGGCGGGGAGGGGGUGGCUCCGGCCAAGCCUGGGGGGUGCUGGCCACCACAGGCACCUGUGGGCCCGGCCGUAGCCCAGCAAGGGCACCCGGAGACCUCCGGUCCCCGCGCAGGUGAGACCUCUGCCCCGGACCACGAUGCAGACUCAGGCCCCCGCCGCCGAGCGGGAGCCAAGCAGGGCUUAUAUUUUCCUUCUGAUCUAAAAUAGUCUUAAGGAAUAGAUUACAUAACUCGGCUCGGCUGUCAGGGGGAACUUUCUAGAAUGCACAUCAGUCAGCGGCUUGGGACUCCUCGUGGCUCCCGGGCUCUCAGGCUGGCCUGGCCCCUGUGGUCUGCGGCCUCUUUGUCCCACUCUGCCUCAGCACACAGGUCUCCUCUGCUGUCACCCACCCUGGCACGGUGACCUCCGCCCUGCACCCUCAAGACCAGCUGUGUUUUCCUAAAAUUCAGGGAGGUGACCAGGUCACCUUCAUAGCUCCCGUCAGCCGGCGCAGGGCCCUGCCGAUGUCGACAGCCCCACGAGCUGUGCUGUCCGCACGCUGCUUCUCUUUUGGAGUUUUCCAGCUGCACUUUCUUUCCCUCCCACAUGUGAUUACUUCUACCUGCAAGUCCCUCUGCCCUGGCUGCUGUGUCCACAAACUCCUAUGGAUACUGCAAAACCCUACUCAACUCCCGGCAACCUGCAUCCACCUUACUGUCCCCACGAGUUGGGUGGUCUAGGUGACUUACGUGAGUAAACUCCUGUGCAUUUGUCUUUUUCUGCAAAGGGCUUAUUUCACUUAGAAUAAGGUCCUGAACUCAUUCACAUAGCUUGUGUCAGAAUUUCCUUCCCUCCUAAGGCUGAAUAAUACUCCACCAUGCAUAUGGACCACAUUUUGCUCAUCCAUUUAUCCACUGAUGGACACUUCAUUUGCUAGAAAUACGGGCUUUGCAUGCUAAGAUAGCUUCGAAAAUGUACAGAAUGGUAUUAUUUAAGGAGGUGGGGUUGGUGAGGACAGUGAGCUUUAGUGUUGCCCCUGACUUUGAGUCCUGGCUGCGUAUCCUUGAGCUCUGCACCCCAGGGCCUGUCUCGUAGUGUUGAGAGCCACAGCAAACUUCUAGCUGCCAACUCAUUGGCUCCUCUGCGGUGAUGCUC